This 366-nucleotide transfer-messenger RNA is filed under the name Ancalomicrobiaceae bacterium. It matches the Rfam family "Alphaproteobacteria transfer-messenger RNA". From Rfam's summary of the family: Bacterial tmRNA, also known as 10Sa RNA or SsrA, is named for its dual tRNA and mRNA-like properties. Its role is to liberate the mRNA from a stalled ribosome. To accomplish this part of the tmRNA is used as a reading frame that ends in a translation stop signal. The record is from RNAcentral. Lineage: Bacteria; Pseudomonadati; Pseudomonadota; Alphaproteobacteria; Hyphomicrobiales; Ancalomicrobiaceae.
CCCCUUCCCACAACCCUCCGGCACGCCUAUAUUUCGUCCGUCGGCUGCAAAGCCGACUAUGGCGAUAAACGAGCGGCGUAAUACACCUAUCGGACCCGGGGGCAGUACCCGGCGCCUCCACCCCAGCGCGUCAGGCCGAUUUGGCACGGCGCGUUGCGGUGGGGGCGAACUAGGAUCGACGAGGGUCUAAAGACCGUUUUUUUGCCCGGCAUGAUACCGCCGUUAUCGGGUCACUUUAUAGUUGCCAACGACAACUAUGCUCCGGUUGCUGUGGCCGCGUGAGCGGUCUCUGACUCCGGUUUCAAGUCCUAACGGUUAGCCCCGUUAGGCGGGGUUCGGGGGUACCUGGCAACAGAAACCCUCACU